AUGUCGACUUGGAGGUUGUGCCCUUGAGGCGUGGCUUCCGGAGCUAACGCGUUAAGUCGACCGCCUGGGGAGUACGGCCGCAAGGUUAAAACUCAAAUGAAAUUGACGGGGGCCCGCACAAGCGGUGGAGCAUGUGGUUUAAUUCGAUGCAACGCGAAGAACCUUACCUGGUCUUGACAUCCACAGAACUUUCCAGAGAUGGAUUGGUGCUUCGGGAACUGUGAGACAGGUGCUGCAUGGCUGUCGUCAGCUCGUGUUGUGAAAUGUUGGGUUAAGUCCAGCAACGAGCGCAACCCUUAUCCUUUGUUGCCAGCGGUCCGGCCGGGAACUCAAAGGAGACUGCCAGUGAUAAACUGGAGGAAGGUGGGGAUGACGUCAAGUCAUCAUGGCCCUUACGACCAGGGCUACACACGUGCUACAAUGGCGCAUACAAAGAGAAGCGACCUCGCGAGAGCAAGCGGACCUCAUAAAGUGCGUCGUAGUCC
Molecule: ribosomal RNA, 485 nt
Filed under: Escherichia coli
Lineage: Bacteria; Pseudomonadati; Pseudomonadota; Gammaproteobacteria; Enterobacterales; Enterobacteriaceae
Description: bacterial SSU rRNA
Rfam family: Bacterial small subunit ribosomal RNA
Source: RNAcentral